CCUACGCGCGGCAGCAGUGAGGAAUAUUGGUCAAUGGACGAGAGUCUGAACCAGCCAAGUAGCGUGAAGGAUGACUGCCCUAUGGGUUGUACACUUCUUUUAUAUGGGAAUAAAACAGGGUAUGCAUACCCUCUUGUAUGUACCAUAUGAAUAAGGAUCGGCUAACUCCGUGCCAGCAGCCGCGGUAAUACGGAGGAUCCGAGCGUUAUCCGGAUUUAUUGGGUUUAAAGGGAGCGUAGGUGGAUUGUUAAGUCAGUUGUGAAAGUUUGCGGCUCAACCGUGAAAUUGCAGUUGAAACUGGCAGUCUUGAGUACAGUAGAGGUGGGCGGAAUUCGUGGUGUAGCGGUGAAAUGCUUAGAUAUCACGAAGAACUCCGAUUGCGAAGGCAGCUCACUGGACUGCAACUGACACUGAUGCUCGAAAGUGUGGGUAUCAAACAGGAUUAGAGACCCGAGUAGUC
Molecule: ribosomal RNA, 460 nt
Filed under: uncultured bacterium
Lineage: Bacteria
Description: partial 16S ribosomal RNA
Rfam family: Bacterial small subunit ribosomal RNA
Source: RNAcentral